RNAcentral lists this ribosomal RNA (429 nucleotides) under uncultured bacterium. RNAcentral describes it as "bacterial SSU rRNA". It matches the Rfam family "Bacterial small subunit ribosomal RNA", at positions 355 to 776 of the family's 1533-position model. The record is from RNAcentral.
UGGGGAAUUUUGGACAAUGGGGGCAACCCUGAUCCAGCCAUGCCGCGUGAGUGAAGAAGGCCUUCGGGUUGUAAAGCUCUUUCGGCGGGGACAAAACGGCCACUCAUAAUACGGGUGGUUAAUGAUGGUACCCGAAGAAGAAGCACCGGCUAACUACGUGCCAGCAGCCGCGGUAAUACGUAGGGUGCGAGCGUUAAUCGGAAUUACUGGGCGUAAAGCGUGCGCAGGUGGUUUCGUAAGUCAGAUGUGAAAUCCCCGGGCUUAACCUGGGAAUGGCAUUUGAGACUGCGGAGCUAGAGUACGGCAGAGGGAGGUGGAAUUCCACGUGUAGCAGUGAAAUGCGUAGAUAUGUGGAGGAACACCGAUGGCGAAGGCAGCCUCCUGGGCCAGUACUGACGCUCAUGCACGAAAGCGUGGGGAGCAAACAGG